This is a long non-coding RNA of Cercocebus atys (sooty mangabey), 1032 nucleotides long. RefSeq lists it as uncharacterized. The record is from RefSeq and is a predicted model, not a curated record. The transcript is spliced from 2 exons. Lineage: Eukaryota; Metazoa; Chordata; Mammalia; Primates; Cercopithecidae.
UCUAUAGUCAAGGGGGCAAACCAGGAAGAGGCAGGGGUGAAACCAUAGACACUCACAUCCCUGUUUCAUCUUCCUCUUUAAAACCAGAUUAACCUGUGGGGCAUCCUAUCUCAUCACUCUCCCUUCAACAAGAGGAGAAGCUUAGGAAAUUCAGGCGUUAGUGGGUAGGAGGAACUAGGAGUUGAGGAGGAUGGGAGAGGAAAGGAGGAGGUGCCUGCCCUAAACGAGGCUGGCCAGAGAAUGAAGGGUUCAGGCCAGCUGAUGACCAGUAGGGGUAGCAAUGGGGAAAGAGGUUUGCAGUGCAGCCUGUGAUGACUCUGAAAUUGUAGAAUUUUAAAAACCAGCGCAUAAACAGGUGAGAGAGUCCGUGACUCUGCCCCACUAGCCUUCAUCAAGCUCAGGAGGGAGGUAUUCCUGGCCAGUACCUGUCCAAAGUGGGCGGGGUAGCCCAACAUGUGGACGUAGAGCAGUUUGGCCAGCUGCCGGUGCCUGUGCACUGGGUCCCCAUCGCGGAAGGAGGCCCGGAUGUGGGCGCACUCCUUUUGGAUCACCUCCCGCUCCUGGGCCUGAGUCUUGGCCCCGCGAAUCUCUUCGAUGAGGUCCUGAAGCUUCAGCGAAGGCGCCACCAUUCUGACUGGCAGAGUCCGGGAGUGAAGAAACACUCUCUGGCCGGGCGUGCCUGGGUUUUCGGCCCAGGCGCGUCCUGUGUCAGGACCCUAAGAGCCCAGGUCCCACAGCGCUUCCUGGUACGGGGCCGAGCAGGGGUUGGUGAUCCGUGCGGUCCUUCCCUCUCCCCGCCUCCACCACGGGACCCCGCCCUCCUGGGCCGACUGCAGAGCCUUCCUGAAUCCUCUGACCUCGAGCCUCAGGCUUUAGCGGACAGACAGCAUGAUAGGCCUGGAGUUCUUCAAGAGGCCUCCUCGCACAUCCUCACCACCCGGAGAGCCUCAGUUUGGAUUUGAAGCCAUCGCACCCCAAAGGAGAUGACAAUCCCCCCCCUUUUUUGAACUUUUUUAUUAAUAUAUUUUUUUU